UAAUCUGCGAUAAGCGCCGGUAAGGUGAUAUGAACCGUUAUAACCGGCGAUUUCCGAAUGGGGAAACCCAGUGUGACUCGUCACACUAUCAUUAACUGAAUCCAUAGGUUAAUGAGGCGAACCGGGGGAACUGAAACAUCUAAGUACCCCGAGGAAAAGAAAUCAACCGAGAUUCCCCCAGUAGCGGCGAGCGAACGGGGAGGAGCCCAGAGCCUGAAUCAGCAUGUGUGUUAGUGGAAGCGUCUGGAAAGGCGCGCGAUACAGGGUGACAGCCCCGUACACAAAAGCGCAUGUGCUGUGAGCUCGAUGAGUAGGGCGGGACACGUGGUAUCCUGUCUGAAUAUGGGGGGACCAUCCUCCAAGGCUAAAUACUCCUGACUGACCGAUAGUGAACCAGUACCGUGAGGGAAAGGCGAAAAGAACCCCGGCGAGGGGAGUGAAAAAGAACCUGAAACCGU
Molecule: ribosomal RNA, 458 nt
Filed under: Salmonella enterica subsp. enterica serovar Give
Lineage: Bacteria; Pseudomonadati; Pseudomonadota; Gammaproteobacteria; Enterobacterales; Enterobacteriaceae
Also listed under: 1 other name
Description: partial 23S ribosomal RNA
Rfam family: Bacterial large subunit ribosomal RNA
Source: RNAcentral